RNAcentral lists this transfer RNA (77 nucleotides) under Thermoanaerobaculia bacterium. Its description in RNAcentral is "tRNA-Arg". It matches the Rfam family "tRNA". Rfam says of the family: Transfer RNA (tRNA) molecules are approximately 80 nucleotides in length. Their secondary structure includes four short double-helical elements and three loops (D, anti-codon, and T loops). Lineage: Bacteria; Pseudomonadati; Acidobacteriota; Thermoanaerobaculia. The record is from RNAcentral.
GCGCCCAUAGCUCAGCUGGAUAGAGCGACAGCCUCCGGAGCUGUAGGUCGUAGGUUCGAAUCCUACUGGGCGCACCA